RNAcentral lists this ribosomal RNA (576 nucleotides) under uncultured bacterium. RNAcentral's name for it is "bacterial SSU rRNA". It matches the Rfam family "Bacterial small subunit ribosomal RNA", at positions 338 to 916 of the family's 1533-position model. The record is from RNAcentral.
CCUACGGGAGGCAGCAGUGAGGAAUAUUGGACAAUGGGCGCAAGCCUGAUCCAGCCAUGCCGCGUGCAGGAAGAAGCAUCUAUGGUGUGUAAACUGCUUUUGUACAGGAAGAAACACUCCCUCGUGAGGGAGCUUGACGGUACUGUAAGAAUAAGGACCGGCUAACUCCGUGCCAGCAGCCGCGGUAAUACGGAGGGUCCGAGCGUUAUCCGGAAUCAUUGGGUUUAAAGGGUCCGUAGGCGGUUUAAUAAGUCAGUGGUGAAAUCUGGUCGCUCAACGAUCAAACGGCCAUUGAUACUGUUAGACUUGAAUUAUAAGGAAGUAACUAGAAUAUGUAGUGUAGCGGUGAAAUGCUUGGAUAUUACAUGGAAUACCAAUUGCGAAGGCAGGUUACUACUUAUGGAUUGACGCUGAUGGACGAAAGCGUGGGGAGCGAACAGGAUUAGAUACCCUGGUAGUCCACGCCGUAAACGAUGGAUACUAGCUGUUCGGAGCAAUCUGAGUGGCUAAGCGAAAGUGAUAAGUAUCCCACCUGGGGAGUACGUUCGCAAGAAUGAAACUUAAANGAAUUGACGG